RNAcentral lists this long non-coding RNA (1742 nucleotides) under Anas platyrhynchos platyrhynchos (common mallard). RNAcentral describes it as "lncRNA (ENSAPLG00000023452.1)". Lineage: Eukaryota; Metazoa; Chordata; Aves; Anseriformes; Anatidae. The record is from RNAcentral.
CCGUGCCUGCGUGGGUCCUGAGCCCUCUGGGUGGUUGUAGGAAGGGUUUUUGGGGUGCUGGGCUGCUGUGAACCUGAUUGUGAUCAGGUGGAGGAGCAAAGGAAGGGGACGGGGGGGUCAGGGCUCCUGUCUGGGUGCUGAAAGUGGGAAAUGUGGCCCAGGAGCUUCCUGGGACACCCAACCCCAUGAACGUCGUGUUUCCUGUCUUUGCUGGAGCAAGGAGGCAUUUUGUGCAGCAGAGGCUGUGCAGGGAUGGGGCCUCCUCCUGCGGUGCCGAUGUUUAUCUGCCAAUGCAGAGGGCGAUUACACCGUGACAUUUAUGUGCUUCUAGAGGAAAAGCAGCUCCCUUCAAUUACAGUGAUUAACAGCCAGGUUUACGUGCUGCUCCCACAUCUGAAACUUUUCCACGUUGCCUUUGUUCGGGUUGCUCUGCGUCCUGCUGUCUUCCAGGGUGGCUGGAAACAGCAUCGAGGAAAUCCCCGCUGCAUUUCCCCUCCGUUCUCACCCGAGCUGUGCCUUGGGUGCUGUGCCUGAGGAGCAGGAAAGCAGCUGAAUAUUGCCAAAGCCUGGAUGUGGGGAUGGGAGAACAGGGACACGGGGGGACCAGGGCUGGCAGCUGCCCCGUCCCCAUCCCGGCAGCUGGGGAAACUCCAGGGCAUCUCCACCAGCCUCCUCCGUACCCCCUCCUGCCUGCUCCUGGCCUUGCUCCGUGACUAUCCCUUGGGUCAGGAGUGGGUUCCCUGCCCUGAAUCAUCUCCUUCUCGCUGUCUUCAUCGCAGCCUGUGCUGUGUCAUCUCUCCCUGCUCUUUAUUUAAUAGAGUGCAGGCAGCCAAGGCAGCGCUGAGCUGAAGCUGCUGACUCCUGCGUGGUGCUGAGGAGCAGGAGCUGUGAUUCCUUCCCGGUGCUCGCAUGCUAUUUCCAGCUCAUUGUUGCCCCUGUUCCUGCCUCUCCUGUGACGCCAGUCCCCCGUGCAUUGAGAAUAAUCCCCGCAGGGGCUGGGGGGCUGGCAGACAGGCUGGUUUCAGCCGAGCUUUGCAGCCCCUUCCUUUUCUCACGCUGGCUGGCACGCUGCACGACUGCCCAGGGCUUUUCUGGCAUGGCAGCUGGGCUCGUUCUCUGCGUGAGCUGCUGAGGCAGACCGGGAGCUGCAGGAUCAAUGGAGACGCACUGAAAGGUACCGCGGGGUGCCGCGCCGUGCCGGGGGGAUGGAGGGGCUAUGGUGCAGAUGCGGUGGUUUUGGGGAGCUUUGCUCUGCUCCCGGCUGCCUGCAGCUCUGUCAGGGGAAGGAUGGUGACCACACUUCAUGCCUCUGCACCUCUCCACUCUGUUUUGCAGCCUAGGCACCUCCCCGCGGGCAGGGAACCCAUGCUGGUGCCAUGGAGGUCGCCAACAGCAGAGAUUUCCAGUGGAAAACCCUCGCCCCGCUGCCCAGCCGCAGGGUCUACUCCACCCUGGUGGAGGCUGGCGGGCAAGUGUUUGCCAUCGGGGGCUGCGAUGACAACGGGGUCCCCAUGGACUGCUUCGAGGUCUACUCCCCCGAGGCCGACCAGUGGACGGCGCUGCCCCCCAUGCCCACGGCCAGGGCCGGGGUGGCGGUGGCCACCUUGGGCAAGAGGAUCAUGGUGAUAGGGGGGGUCGGCGUGAACCAGACGCCGCUGAAGAUAGUGGAGAUGUACAACGUGGACGAGGGCAAGUGGAAGAAGAGGAACUCGCUGAGGGAAGCGGCCAUGGGCAUCUCGGUG